Molecule: ribosomal RNA, 465 nt
Filed under: uncultured bacterium
Lineage: Bacteria
Description: partial 16S ribosomal RNA
Rfam family: Bacterial small subunit ribosomal RNA
Source: RNAcentral
GAUGAACGCUGGCGGCGUGCUUAACACAUGCAAGUCGAACGGAAAGGCUCCUGCUUGCAGGGGUACUCGAGUGGCGAACGGGUGAGUAACACGUGGGUGAUCUGCCCUGCACUUCGGGAUAAGCCUGGGAAACUGGGUCUAAUACCGGCUAGGACGAUGGUUUGGAUGCCAUUGUGGAAAGUUUGUCGGUGUGGGAUAAGCUCGCGGCCUAUCAGCUUGUUGGUGGGGUAAUGGCCUACAAAGGCGUCGACGGGUAGCCGGCCUGGGAGGGUGUACGGCCACAUUGGGACUGAGAGACGGCCCAGACGCCUACAGGAGGCAGCAGUGGGGAAUAUUGCACAAUGGGGGCAAGCCUGAGGCAGCGACGCCGCGUGGGGGAUGACGGCCUUCGGGUUGUAAACUCCUGUCGCUAGGGACGAAGCGCAGGUGACGUUACCUGGAGAAGAAGCACCGGCUAACUACGUG